AAAACUCUGGAGAGUCUCAUAAGUGAGCGCCGAAGGUGUACGGUUUUGUAAAGGCCAAUCUCUCAGGCAAAAGGACAGAGGUU
Molecule: non-coding RNA, 83 nt
Filed under: uncultured Anaerostipes sp.
Lineage: Bacteria; Bacillati; Bacillota; Clostridia; Lachnospirales; Lachnospiraceae
Description: Glycine riboswitch
Rfam family: Glycine riboswitch aptamer
About the family: This family represents the bacterial glycine riboswitch. Glycine riboswitches usually consist of two metabolite-binding aptamers domains with similar structures in tandem.
Source: RNAcentral